CGUCUCUAUCUGCAAUCUACUUGCAGACAGGCAGGGCCCUCUCCACAUCAGGUUAAUAAUGCCAUUUUCAUAAGCCUCUGCCCAUAGGUGCUACCACCUAAUUUUGAAUCUGCCCUUCAAACGGAUUGGGCCACAGAGGAGCUGGGAUCUCAAGCACCGCUGGGAGGUGCUUAUAACUAAUCAAUCCGUCCCCUGCCCACCCACACCCCCCCCAGCACUCGGCACAGCUUCGCUGAGCAGCCUUCAGCAGCAGGGUGUGGUGGGGAGCCUCGGAGAGUCUGGGGUUCCAUCCUGGCCCAGCCUCACACCAGCUCAGAGACGACCGACUGAGCUUCGAGGACAGGAAGCCACCGGCAUCACUUCAUCCCCAGCCUCACGCUUGGGACUGGGCCCGGGGAAGCAAGCAGUGAGGAUCGAGUGGCACAGGACGAGAGGAGAUCCACUUGAACGCUUGCAGCCAAG
Molecule: RNA transcript, 462 nt
Organism: Pongo pygmaeus (Bornean orangutan)
Lineage: Eukaryota; Metazoa; Chordata; Mammalia; Primates; Hominidae
Exons: 3
Source: RefSeq, a predicted model, not a curated record